UAACCGAAGAAGUUCAGCCCCGAUAGACAGAAAUCCCUUUCGACUUCCUCCUUCCAUCAAAUUUUAGGGUUCAUCCACUGUUCAAUCUGCGACGAUUCUUACAUGUUCUCUGCCACCAAGACUGGAGGUUCGAGAGAUUCAGUGGCUCAAAUCGUUUAUCGGCAAAACAUGAAGGGAGCCAAUUGUAAUUUAGAUAUAAUGCCUCCAAGGAAGAAGCAGAAUAAAAGAUCCAACAAGAGGACUUUGAGCAAAUCUCAGAAACUGGAGCUGAAGAAACUUGAGGAAGACAGGGAGAAAGAGCUCCUCUCUGCAAAAAAAAAUCUGAUUUGUUAAACAAGUAUGAAAUAUAUGAGGAUGUGUCUUCGCUUUUACAAUCUUCAAAAGUCAUCAGAAGAUCUGAUACGAAGCUGGAGAAACGCAGGAGAGCAAUACUCUAAAGCUGGUGUUUUGUCUGAUGAACCAGUCAAGGAAAAUGACAACUCUGAUUUUUGUAUGGGCGAGCCUACCACACCUGAAAUCCAUAUCCCGGCUCUUCAAUCCGAUUCUGACCAACUUAUUCAUCCCAACGAGCUCGAUUCCAAAGUGAUGAUGAUCUCUGCUUAAGAGGUCCGUGAAGAAAAUGAAACGAUGUAUAUGAAUCUACAGACAAUUGUCGUGAUGAUGAAGAAGGCUUACAAAGAAUGGUUUGUCAAUUUUUUUUUUUUUUUAAAAUUGGCUAUGAUGUAUGUUUGGUUUGAUUGGUUUUUAAUGGGUUUUGAUAACGAAAAGUAUGAUGAGAGAGACACAAGGACCUGUGUUUGUAGUUCAUGUUUCAAGACCAGCUGAAGUUGAACAGACGUGGAAGGAUCUUCCUAUAAUUAUGAUGGAGCAGGAAAUCAUGGAGACUAUCAAUUAUCAUCCCACCGUUAUUAUUUCUGGAAAGACCGGUUGUGGUAAAACCACUCGAGUUCCUCAGUUCCUUAUGAAGCUGGCUUUGGCUCAAAGCAAGUCAGUUCUUGAAGUGUGGUUAUCGGUAUUACACAGCCACAUCGUGUGGCUGUCCUCGCCAGUCGCCACUGACAAGAGGGUGGCUCAUGAGCUUGGUGUUCGUCUCGGUCAAGAAGUCGGUUUCCAAGUUAAGUACGACAAAAAAAAUUGGCUAGAACUCAUCUAUCAAGUUUUAUGACCGAUGGGUAAUACGCAGAAGAGCAACGUCACGAUCUGAAGAGAAUUUCCAUAGCCGCAGCUUCAGCCAUUAAUGGCGGCAGGAAGAAAUCACUUGGUUGCAGAGGAGGGAGGACAUCACACUUGGCGGUUGUGGUUGGUUUGUGUAACUGGCACCUGCACUUCCUAUCAAGUUCUCCAAUGACAUCGAGGGGAUUCAGUUUAUAAACAGCAUAAGAAAAAGUCAUGUUGAUGCUUAUAUCAAGCGCGUCACUGAACUCCCAUUGAGGUUUUAUGAUUAUCAAGUUUUAUGAUUAUGAAGGUGAGGAAUUUACUUACCGAAUUCAUGUUUCCAAUGAAUAUCUUACUCUCAUCACUUGAAUUGGUUUGAUCUUCAUUGAUAAAAAUAAAUUUAUUUUGCCAAAA
Long non-coding RNA from Brassica napus (rape), 1569 nucleotides. RefSeq lists it as uncharacterized. NCBI's taxonomy places the organism in Eukaryota, Viridiplantae, Streptophyta, Magnoliopsida, Brassicales, Brassicaceae. The record is from RefSeq and is a predicted model, not a curated record. The transcript is spliced from 6 exons.